RNAcentral lists this unclassified non-coding RNA (141 nucleotides) under uncultured Sordariomycetes. RNAcentral's name for it is "sequence contains ITS1". The record is from RNAcentral. Lineage: Eukaryota; Fungi; Ascomycota; Sordariomycetes.
GCGAGUUAUCUAACUCCCAACCCUUUGUGAACUUACUAUUGUUGCCUCGGCGGGACCUACCUGGUACCUACCCUGUAGCCCCGCCGGCGGACUAUAAAUUCUUAUUUAAUGGAAAUCUGAAUGUAUUAUUUUAAUAAAUAA